This 432-nucleotide ribosomal RNA is filed under the name Triticum aestivum (bread wheat). Its description in RNAcentral is "partial small subunit ribosomal RNA". The record is from RNAcentral. Lineage: Eukaryota; Viridiplantae; Streptophyta; Magnoliopsida; Poales; Poaceae.
AUGGUCCUCAAGCUUGACUUCAGGAAGGCGUUCGACUCCAUUUCGUGGCCUUCUCUGCUCAAAAUUCUUCGCCAUCGGGGCUUUCCAGAUCGGUUUUGCUCUUGGAUUGAGGAUUUGCUCUCUUUCGGUAAAACUGUGUCAUUCUUAACGGGGUUCCUGGAAGCUGGAUUCAGUGCAAAAACGGUCUUCGGCAAGGCGAUCCCAUCUCGCUGUAUCUGUUCAUCAUCGUUGCCGAUGUUCUCCAAUCGCUCAUCCUGUCUGCUGCCUCUGAUCAAACCUACGAGCUUCACUACCCGGUCUACAAUGAUCUUCCGCCCUCCAUUCUGCAAUAUGCCGACGACACUCUUAUCAUUGCCCAUGCCUCCACUGCUGCUGCCCGCAAACUCAAGCAGCUUCUCGACGAUUUUGCCUUGGCAACUGGUCUCCGUAUAA